RNAcentral lists this unclassified non-coding RNA (1195 nucleotides) under Hevea brasiliensis (rubber tree). Lineage: Eukaryota; Viridiplantae; Streptophyta; Magnoliopsida; Malpighiales; Euphorbiaceae. The record is from RNAcentral.
GUCCGCAAUCGAUCCCAUCGCCGUUUCAAAUACAUACACUCUCUAUAAAGCUGUGUUUUGGAUACCGACAGGCCUCAUUAAUCAAUGGCGGAUAGAGUGCUCACCGUCGCGCAGGACGGAUCCGGUGACCACACCACUGUGCAGGAAGCAAUAGAUGCCGUGCCUCUCUGCAAUACUUGCCGGACGGUUAUCCGUGUGGCGCCUGGGGUGUACAGGCAGCCUGUUUAUGUGCCUAAGACUAAGAACUUCAUUACCGUCGCGGGUUUAAGUCCCGAGGAUACUGUCCUCACCUGGAACAAUACCGCUACCAAAAUCGAACACCACCAGGCGUCUAGGGUGAUUGGGACGGGGACGUUUGGGUGUGGGAGUGUGAUAGUGGAAGGGGAAGAUUUUAUUGCUGAGAACAUCACUUUUGAGAACUCUUCUCCUGAGGGUUCAGGUCAAGCAGUGGCAAUCCGGGUGACAGCUGAUCGGUGUGCCUUCUAUAAUUGUAGGUUUCUAGGGUGGCAGGAUACUCUGUAUCUUCACUAUGGAAAACAGUAUCUGAAAGAUUGCUAUAUUGAAGGAAGUGUGGACUUCAUUUUUGGGAACAGCACCGCCCUCUUGGAGCAUUGUCAUAUCCACUGCAAGUCUGCAGGUUUCAUAACUGCACAAAGCAGAAAAUCUUCUCAGGAGUCAACUGGUUAUGUGUUCUUGAGAUGUGUGAUCACAGGUAAUGGAGGGACUUCAUAUGCAUAUCUUGGACGGCCAUGGGGACCCUUUGGAAGGGUGGUCUUUGCAUAUACAUAUAUGGAUCAAUGUGUCAGACAUGUAGGCUGGAAUAACUGGGGCAAAGCUGAGAAUGAGAGAAGUGCUUGCUUUUAUGAGUACAGGUGUUAUGGACCAGGUAGUUGCCCGUCAAAGCGAGUGACAUGGGCCAGAGAACUGAUGGAAGAAGAAGCAGGACAGUUUCUCAUUCAUCUUUUCAUUGACCCUGAUCCAGAAAGGCCAUGGCUUGCUGAAAGAAUGGCCCAGAGGAUACCAUAUUCUGCGUAGAAUCUAUAACUUUAGCUGAUAAAUUAGCCAACAAUCUCAGACAGAAGCUUCCUGCAAAUAAAUUGAGAGUAGCUUUCUUUUUUGUACUGAAGCAUUCCAAGCUCUAAAUAUCUUAUUAUGCAUCUUAAGAUCGACUAGUUUUAUUCCAAGGUAUUUCUUU